UUUCCGUAGGUGAACCUGCGGAAGGAUCAUUAUCGAAUGUCGAGGGGAAGGAAGAUGAGGAGUGGAGACUGUCGCUGGCUUUCCCGCCUGGGAAGCAUGUGCACGCCUUGCUUUUCGUUGACCUUUCUCUUACUCUCACACCUGUGCACCCAUUGUAGGUCUUCGAAAGAGGAUCUAUGUUUUUAUCAUCACACCCAUCGUAUGUCCAUAGAAUGUAACAUAAUCGUCGAUCGACCUCGCGGUCGGGUGGCAGUCUAAACAAAUAAAUACAACUUUCAACAACGGAUCUCUUGGCUCUG
RNAcentral lists this unclassified non-coding RNA (299 nucleotides) under plant metagenome. RNAcentral describes it as "partial contains small subunit ribosomal RNA, internal transcribed spacer 1, and 5.8S ribosomal RNA". The record is from RNAcentral.